RNAcentral lists this small RNA (102 nucleotides) under Acidihalobacter prosperus. Its description in RNAcentral is "Thiobacillus prosperus t44 RNA". It matches the Rfam family "t44 RNA". Rfam says of the family: This family consists of a number of bacterial RNA genes of between 135 and 170 bases in length. The record is from Rfam by way of RNAcentral. Lineage: Bacteria; Pseudomonadati; Pseudomonadota; Gammaproteobacteria; Chromatiales; Ectothiorhodospiraceae.
CAGGCGUCAUUUAACGACACACAUGCGCCGUCACGGUCCGCUGGGUGCCCGGCUAUCUCAUCGAGGUGCGGGGUUGCGGAUUGGGGCGCAUGGAGGUCCAAC